RNAcentral lists this ribosomal RNA (275 nucleotides) under uncultured bacterium. RNAcentral's name for it is "partial 16S ribosomal RNA". It matches the Rfam family "Bacterial small subunit ribosomal RNA", at positions 523 to 796 of the family's 1533-position model. The record is from RNAcentral.
AUACGUAGGGGCCAAACGUUGUCCGGAUUUAUUGGGCGUAAAGGGCUCGUAGGCGGUUUAACAAGUCGGUCGUGAAAACCCGGGGCUCAACCCCGGGACGCCGGUCGAAACUGUUAUGACUAGGGUCCGGUAGAGGUGAGUGGAAUUCUCGGUGUAGCGGUGGAAUGCGCAGAUACCGAGAGGAACACCAGUAGCGAAGGCGGCUCACUGGGCCGGUACCGACGCUGAGGAGCGAAAGCAUGGGGAGCAAACAGGAUUAGAAACCCCUGUAGUCC